UUUCUUUUUCCCAGAGGAAGAAAGUGGACAAUUUGACACUUGGUUCCUGAAGUUAACCGUUUCUUUGCCUCAUGCAUUCUUCUAACUAUUGUGGUUAAAAAAUGAGUCAAAUUCUGAUGUUUUGCAAUGGUACGCUAUGCUUGGUGGAGCUCCAGCUGAUUUUAGCCAAUUACAGUUCAAGAUCCUAUUUGCAGUAAAAAAACAAAGGGUUGUUGUGAUUCUAAGUUGCUGGCCUACUACAGUUGUUUUUCAAAAGUUUCUGCGACUGUCUUGCUGAGUUUCUGCGAUUUUUUAAGAUGGGUUAGUGCCCAAAUAUGGAAUUUUGUUGCUGAAGAAUCUGUUAAAGCCUUUCCAAG
This is a long non-coding RNA of Pistacia vera, 356 nucleotides long. RefSeq lists it as uncharacterized. The transcript has 3 exons. NCBI's taxonomy places the organism in Eukaryota, Viridiplantae, Streptophyta, Magnoliopsida, Sapindales, Anacardiaceae. The record is from RefSeq and is a predicted model, not a curated record.